RNAcentral lists this long non-coding RNA (1084 nucleotides) under Nicotiana benthamiana. RNAcentral's name for it is "long non-coding RNA (NBEN_LNC023387)". Lineage: Eukaryota; Viridiplantae; Streptophyta; Magnoliopsida; Solanales; Solanaceae. The record is from RNAcentral.
UUCUGUCUCAGUCACCGUGUGAUCGGCACGGUUUUGAUCCCAACCUGAUCGAAUAGGCCCAAUCCACGAGGUGUUCACUCGCUUAAUGGUUCUCAAUGCUCAUGUAUCAUACCUUAGCAUGGCUAAGUAAAUUUUCAACAACGAGACCCUCGUCUCAUGUGCUCCCUACUUUGGCACAAGUAGUUUCAGGAAGUCACGCAUUGGUCAGAGGACCCUCGGCCUGGACGAUGACCCCUUCUCAGAAUAAAGGAUACUCCCCAAAAAACUUUUCUUUCUAAAACUUCUUCUUGUGACUUAUCAAGUCUAAAUCUUUUCUUUAUAGGACAUUAUGUACAUGCUCAUAUUGGUGUCCUUAAAUGUAAAGUAUGGCAUAAGAAUGAAAUAAACAUAUAAAAAUACUUUUAAAGAUUCUUUCUUCUUCAUAAUUUUCAACAUGAGAAUAGCAUAUAAGAAUAACACAAAAUUUUGAAAAUUUAAGCACAUAUAGCAUAAUAGGUCAUCUAAACCUUUGCUAGAACAAUUCUAAAUUAAUGGGUACUCACUCGCUCUAAUUAAAUAAAGAUAACUUCUUUUAAGAAAAGUCAUCUAAACUUUUUCUAGAACAAUUCUAAAUUAAUGGGUACUCACUCGCUCUAAUUAAAUAAAGAUAACUUCUUUUAAGUAAUUUAUCAAACACCUUGUAUGCGUGCUUUUGUGAGUUAACCACUUUAGUAAAGGGUUAUAUCAACUCACCUCAAAACUUCUGGAGCCAAUACAUAGACUCUAGUCCAAUUUAUACCGUCAAACAAUUGAUUCUACAACAACCAGUGUAUAUUUUCAAGUACUACACCUAAUUAUGAAAUUUAUUGUUGAUAUAGGGAAUAGGGAAUUAGCUAUUCAAUUCUUACCUAUUACUACUUUAGGGUAAUUGAAAAUAGGGAAUUUUAUAUACCUGAAUUUAAGAAUUAGUGAUUUGUAAAGAACCCUUGAAUCUUUCCGUGUUGUCUGCGUGAAAUAUUGCCUGGGUUUUAACUUAACUAGUAUUACUUAUACAUAACAUACUUUUAAUAUUUAAUAAUAACAAAAUUAUCAAUAUUCUUCUAAC